UGUGGGACAUGCUGGAGAGAAACAGCAGAAGGAAGAUAUAAGGUCCACUCAAAUCAAAACAUACUCUUGGGAUAAUGCCCAGGUUAUUUUGGUGGGUAACAAAUGUGACAUGGAGGAUGAGCGGGUAAUCUUCACUGAGAGAGGAAAACAUUUAGCAGAGCAACUUGGUUUUGAAUUUUUUGAAACAAGUGCCAAGGACAACAUUAAUGUCAAGCAGACAUUUGAGCGACUUGUGGAUAUCAUCUGUGACAAAAUGUCCGAAAGUCUGGAGACAGAUCCCAACAUCACUGCUGGCAAGCAGAACACACGACUAAAGGACAGCCCUCCACCACAGCAACCCAACUGUGGCUGUUAAUGCGGCUACCAGCAAAGGCAGCUCCAGCGCAUUCUGUUGCCAACAGAGUAUUUAUGAAUGGUCUAUAUGCCUUUAUUUAUACUGUCUUAGUAAUUUAUUUGGGAGAAAAAUCUUUUAUUCUACAUUAGCAUCUAGUUGAGUAUAUGUACGAAGAUGGGGAUAUUAAUAGUUUGAAAGAGUAAUCUGUUUUUUAGCUUCUGGCUCUUGCAUGCAGGAUGGCUGUUAGUUUCUCUUUUCUUUUUACUGUUUCUCAUUAUACUUACUUCAGCUAGUGCCAUGUGACUUGCAUCAUUGGUUUCAAAUUUUGUAGUUGAAUACUUAGGGCAGCGGCCAAGGUAUUUUAUAUUUUCUCCUGACCAAAAAUGUAUUUAGAAAUAUUACUUUAAAGAGCCAAUCAGUCAUUCUGUCUAGAUCAUUUAUAAGGAACACUUCCUUGAGCAUACUGCCUGAGUAAGUCUGGGCUCAGUAUGCUACACAUCAUGUGCUUGGAAACUGUAGAAGUUAGAAAGAGCAGACCUCCAGCCUUCCUGGACUUCAAGCUACCUGCCAUUCCUUUGAGAUUCCAACUGGUAUGGGUAUGGGUGUUCGUGCAGAUUCUCACAGAUAUUAGAUACUUCAUCCUGGCUAACUAGCUACUAUGCUUACAUUUUUGUUUGUUAAGCUCCUUUUGAAACUUUACUCAUUUUCUCAUUCCAACAUGCAGAUAUCCUGGUAGUUUCUGCCCUAGCAGAAGAGGUCUGACCAGCUCUUUUUUCUUUCCACCGGUGUUAGAUAUUGAACACUGUUCAGAUAUUACCCCUAAGAAAGCCAAAUCCAUCACAAUCAGUUGUUCAUAGCCAAAAACUGUCUUGUCACAUUGCUGUCAAACCUGCAUGCUUAAGCUUUCAGGAGCUGUAUGUCCCAUUCAGUCACUGGGACAGCCAUCACCAUACUGGUUACUAAUUUCACUCAGAUCUAAUGUAGAUGUGUUGCUGAUGUCAAUGAGCUUUAGUUUGACCUCAUUUUUUCUUUGAUGAGGAAAUAUUUUUCAUCAGGACUAUCACAGAUUGGCAAUAUUUUGAAAAUAACUUUAGGAAUAAUAAGAAAUAGUUAUCAUUUCCUAAGUUAAAAUGAAUGUAUCUCUAAAAUCAGGAAAAGCUGUGAAGUACACAGACACACACACAAAAAGGCAUAAUAAAGUACAACAAACAAAUUCUGUUUCAAUCAAUUUAAUAAAAAUAGUCAUAUUCUAAAGUUUUAAAAUGGUAAUUGGUGGCACAUCUAUGUCCAGUACAUAGUGCUUCAUGCAACACCUUUAUUUCUGUCACAGUGACAUUUUUAAGCUAAACUGCAUAACUGUGGAAUUAACUGUUUUAUUGUUCCUAGCAGACGGGCUUUAAGACAAGACUGACGUUUCCCUAACUGUCUGCAAUAAAAAAAUAAAAAUAAAAAUAAAAAUAAAAAUAAAAAUAAAAAAAUAGGAAGACAAAUUAGAAAGUGAAAGUAACAGAAGGUACUGAAAAUCCCUCUGUACACACUCCUGUUUUCAAAGGUUAUUCAUAUAAACUCCUGAAAGACACUGAGGAAAAUGGACACUUGGUUGUUUUUUCUCUUUCUUUUUGUUUGUUUUGUGUUGUGGUUUUUUUUGUUGUUUUUUUGUUUUUUUGUUUUUUUUAAACUGGUUAAAUAACUGAUAUUAACUUCGACAUGGUGAAAACGACUUUCAAGCAAGGCAUAUAGAGACACACGCAAAACGGAAUGGCCACCAGGGGGCAACAUUGGCUGCCUAACUUAAAUGAUCUUUCUUCAUUCUAGGAUUUUAAAACUUACGUCCUCUUAACAAGUUUCUUUAAACACCUAUUUUCCUAGUAGACAUGGAGGAUGAACUUUUACUUGCUGAAUUUCACGAAGAGAAAGCAUUGUCCUCUGUGGAGCUGAUGAGCGGUCAGGCAGAAGAGGCACGUGUUACACAUACCAUAAACCAGCCUCCUACAGAGCAGUACUUUUCUCUCCCAUGUCUAAGGCAGCAUGUUGGCAACUGUGCUGGGGAACUUUCAGUGACACCUUUUCACCCACUGGGUACUGGCUGCUUAGAUAAAAGAAGUGAUAGGACACCAAGGGUGCUUUACAUGAGGUGGUGGCCAGUUUCCUUCCUUGUGCUUGUUAUGUUCAUUUAUAUAUACUGGAGAAAAGUGAGCAGAACAUCCUUGAGACAGCAAUCAACAGCAGCCCUCAUUUAUUUAGAAAAGCUUUAAGUUGUAUUAUGUGCCUGAGACAUUACAUCCUCAGGCGAGGUAAAGUGAAUGGAGAAUAUCAACACAAAAGAGCUUGGGCAUGUUCUGUCUGGAUCAUGCAGCACUGCUACAAGUGCAAAUAUUCACCUUUGCUCUGUGACAAGUACAACCUCUAGCCUCUGACAUACUUGAUCUUCUGUAUGGGAUGGGGAGGUUGGGGGAAGCAGCUGCCAGAGUAACACUGACUGACUGCCACAUGUUACGAGAAAGGGCUCACCUGAAGCAGAAAUGCAGGGCCUAACGACUAUGUAAGAACUCCUAGGUUCUUUGUAUUGACGUUGCCAUAGAAUUCAGAAUUAUUCAGAUUAACUUUUAAUGUGUUCACAUCAAAUCCUUGGAGGCUUUCAAGACAAAACUAGAUAAAAUCCUGGGCGAUCUGCUUUGACUUCUCAGCUGACACUGCUUUGAGGAGGCUGGGCUGGGACCUGCUUAUGUCCCAUCCAACCAGAUUUAUCUUACCCUCCCUUCCUCUGAAAUUUGACAUUUCUGGAUGUUCAAGCAGAACUUUUCUCAACAGUCAGGUUUACCUACUGUUGGAAAAACAAGUUUCGAUUUUCCAACCAGUGGAAUAGGUUGGCUUUUGAAGCCAUGUUUCAGCAAUAUUGAGUUUUCUGCUAUAAAUUUUGGUCAGAUUCAGAUGACAAGCAUCAUGAGCUCUCGAUACUUCACCUUCUUACGGUGAAACCUGGCUGUUGCAGAGGAAUAUGAAAGACAGAAGGGCUUCUUGGAAGUAACUUACUAUUCCUUCCUCAAGCACGAUGAAAAUUUAGCUUGAGUUCCGUGGAAGCCAACAGGAGUAGAAUUUGCAUUUUACUUGAAAUUAUGCUUUGCACUGUUACAUAGCACAGAGUCUUCAACUGAAGCAUGUGUCAAUGUAAUUCAAUUACAACUGAUUCUGAGACAGAACUGCAAUUUUCUUAAAUGCAAGAAGAGAUGUGUUAUUUAAUAUUUUGGAAAUUCCAUCCAAGCCUAAUCAAGGAUCAAAAUUCAAACAACUAAUGGAUCAUUCUUCAUCCCUAUCCUGUAGUCACUGAUUAUGAGUUAGUCAUUGGAGGAGAAGCAGUAUUUGACACAGUUCUGCUAAGAGAAAAGAUCAGUAAUAUAUUAGUGAUACAAGAAGUCUGGUUCAUUAAAUUCAAAACCUAGGGACAAGAUAUCCAAAAUUAUUUACAGCCUCACAGUUUUUGAAGUACUCACAGACUUUUCACUAAUUUGUUGUCUCUCUCUGCACAGAAAUAAGAUUGAUUGUCAUGGAGCUACAUUCCAGUCACAAAUGACCUCUUUCACCAAAAUUUAGGCCAAUUGAUGAGAUACAACAGUUGUCAUAGAGAGCAUAUUGCAUUUUUGAGAGUUUAGAUGCCUCUGGUCAGAGACUCCUGAGCUCCAUAGUGCCAGCUGAACCGUCACUUCACAAACUAUUUUCCAAGUUAUGAUCUAUACUGAUGCUUUUAGCAGCAAGCUAAUUGUGUGCAUGGAUAGUACAGAAGCCUUAUCAUACUCUGAUAUUGUAUUGAUUGCUGUAUGAAAAACUAGUGCUCAGAAAAUGUCUUGGGAUCACAUGGGAACACAAGACACAGGUGGCUUCUGCAGUGCCUCCUGGCACCAGAGAGCUAGCAAGCCUUGCUGAGUUAACCUUCAGAUACUUUUCUGAUUUUGAUAAGAGUUGAUGUUCACAAGCAUUCCAGUCUUUAUAGCAUAGCUAAUUUACUAGUAUAUUUUUGUUGUUGUUACAGUAGUUUGUUUAUUUAGAUCUGUUGGUUUGGUGUUUGAAAUACAUAUAAGCUAGCUGGAUUUUCUGUCAAAAAAUAUUCUCUCUGAACAGUUGUGUACGUGACCGUUACCUGGAACUGUUUGUUCCUCUGUGCUUUUACUUAAUGCAAUGCUUAGAGAAACUACCUGAGCAACUACAUGUCUGUGGCCUUUCCAGAGCGUCAGUCUGAAAGAUUAAACUUUCUUCCCAGUCUACUCAGCUUUGUACAUUCAGCUGUACCACAUGCACCUUCUUUAUUUCAGGAACAAAGUAUGUCAUGAUACACAAAUUCUGCUGGAAUUUGAUCCCAGUAUUUGAGAAUGCUUUGAGUUGAAUUUUCAAUUUUAGGGGAAAAAAAGGUGGUACAAAUUCUACAUCUGGUGAUGAUUCCUCUGUUCUGUAACAGCAGAUGAAAGAUGCUGCAUUUGCAUUCUAAAAAAACAAUCUCUCCCACAAACUACUCUUCUCUAUAUUUCUUUGGGAGAGGCAAGUUUUAUUACAUGUAUUUUUAAGGGCAUCAACUAAAUUACUGUCCUGCUGAACGACUGUUAAGACAGUUUCCUCCUUGGCCUGUUUCUUAGACAGUGAGUAGGUGAGCCUUAGCAGUUUGAGACCCUGAGUAGUAAAUACUUAUAGAUCAGCACUUAGGGAGUGUAAAGCAGUAUCUCACUUCUGCCAACAGAGAAGUGAGUUCUGUUAAUUUACACUGUUUAAUCCAUACACGUAGGCUUUUCAGUACAGUCUGACUUCAGAUUCUCCAAGAUUCAUCAUAUGUUUAGUGUCAUUUGAAGAGGCAACUCAGUUCAAUUAUUUGAACAACUUUUACCAGUUUCUUUGUUAAGAAGAGGUGAAUGCAGUUCACCUUACAAAUUUGUUUUUUGUUUUCGUUUUAUUUUUCCUUCCUUUUAUUUUACUUUGUUUAUCCAUGGAUAUUCACUGAGUCAGAAUUGUAACUACACACAUUUAGUAUGCAUAUGCAGCAGUAUGUCUUUGACACUCACUCAGUUCCUACUGCUACUUAUCUCAGUAAGUGCAGCUUUCCAUAAAUGCCACAGUAAACUUAUCCAGAACUCAUUAACACCAGAAAUCCAUGGGAUUACAUCUGUAGACCAUAUGUUUAUUUUCCAUGGCUCCAGCACAUGCAGGUGGCUAGUCAUUUAUAGAAUAAGGUACCUGGUAUUUGAUUCAAUGAAGGAGAAGCAGAAGAGCAGUAACUUCAGGCUCACGCAUAACAUGCAUUAAUGAAAGCUGGGGAUUGCGUACCACUUCUGUCGAUAACUUUACCUGAGUAACUCUGACAUGUACCUGCAACUAGUGUUAAAUGAACUGUUUGUGUGUAACUCCUGUUUAAUAUUUUGUGAGUAAUGUCAGAAGUGUCGUGGCUCAGUUGAACUGUCAGAACGUGUUACCUAUAUACUCGUGUUUGUGAAACUGAAAUGUCUUAAAUGUUGCAUGAAAAUAUGUUAUAAAAAUAGAUGUUUUCUAUUUUUUGAAUACCUCAAAACUGAGGAAUCAUGGGCCAAUAAGUGCAAUAUUUAAUGACUUACUCAGUGUAUAUAAACCUGUGUGAAAGGGAGAAGUGUCCUGUAUGUGUGGUAAGGUGUUGAUGAUGCCUGUGUGGCUUAAGAUUUCCAGUAGCUAUGUGUGUCUUGUAGUAAAAUUUAUAUAGUAAAUGCUUUAUCAGUGUAGUGUAAAAAUACUCUAUUCUUAAGUCAUUUAAACUAUUUUUCAUAUAUUCAAAUAUGACACGGUAAAAGAUGUCUGUAUGUCUAUUGCAAGUGCAUGUCAAUUUUACUUUUAGAACUGAGUGUGUCCUCUUUGGAAAUGGUCACAUUACAUCGACACUAGUGGGACAACACAUUUAGUCAGAAGAUGCUUGUAAACGUGUCUGAACUAUCUGCAUAUAUUUUUAAAGCAUGUUCCCUAGAUACAUUAGAAUAACCUCCUAGAGCGUUAUCAGCUAUGUUAUCUGUUUGCCUAUAUUGCAUAAUAUCAUAUAAGUGUGUUUUAAUAUGAUAUAGUUAACUUGUGAUAUCUGAAAAAUUUAAUAGGAGUAUCCAAUACUCUUGCAGAUAACUUUGCAAACUUCAGUAGGUGCCCUGAUUUAACAUUUUUUGGGAACAGCCAGAAGGUCAUAGUCAAAGUAGUCUAGCACAGUGUACAGUGACUUUAAUUAGUUAUGUAUGUCAGUUCAUUUCCUUAACUUUUCUAUAUCCUAAAGAAGGAAAAUAAAUACAACAUUAAAUACAUUCACCCAGACUUUUCACUCACUCAACAGCUACAUGGUCCUUAGUAUAGUUGGAAAAAGUGCAGUCUAGAAUCUAACCAAGACAUAAAAAUGAGAGAUCCAAUCAUUCAUAUUUCCUCUCCUCUUACCCUUGCAUAUUUCUGAUAAUUCUCUAAGCACAUGAGCAAGGCCAUCACUAUUCAGCAAAACUCUCAAAUCUUUAGGGCACCUGUGGGACUUCUGACCCUGAAACACCUAUCCACCAGUGGUUCCCAGUUGUGCCUAUGGACUCCACGAAGGAGAAGCUUAUUCUGUUAAUUCUUGCUAUACCUCUGAUUUCAAAGAGAGUGUGUCAUGAUCCCUGGAAAUCUGCUAAGUAAAGUUAGGCCACUGAGACUGGGACAAGGAGAGUAACUGCUUGUACUGAAAUUUUUCGAAAAACCCAUUUUCAUUAAAAGAUGUCUAAGUAUAUUUUUAGUUUUACAUUUUUUGUAGACAAUAUACUAAGUUAACUCAUAUGGUUGGUUGGUUGCUUGAGUUUUGUUUUGUUUUGUUUUAACUUAGACUUACAAAGAAAAGAAUCGAAGUUUAAGGCCUGCUGGAAACCAUUGGCUUUCCUGUCUGCACAUAGUUUCUCUGAGAAAGCAAAUAGCCAAACUGCAUUAAGUAGCACAGGACAGCACUUGCAAUGACCUGAGCAGCCCUUAAAAUUCUUCCUGCUUUUAUACCUGCUGCUAUGAAAGCGCUUGCAAAAUUAUACAGUUUGGGGUAAAAUGAAAAUUAAUUUUGAGAGAAUUUGAGAUUUCUUAGGAAAAGAAGAAAAUUCUGGACAUCUUUACAGCUAAGCAGCAGAUAAAAUAACAGUCCUAAUAGGAAGUACCACUUAAGUGCAUAUAUACAGGCUGCUACAGGACUGGGGAUAUAUUACCUAAUUUUUUAUUUUGCUAAGUGACCUGAGUAUUCAAGGGCUGGCAGAUAAUUUUACCUACUAUUUUUAUUAUUCCUUAUUGACCUAUGAAUAUAUACACAAGGACAAAUACUUACCUUGAAAAUAUGUAGCUGUUCUGGCUCCUUCAAGCUAACUUGCUGAAUUGUUCAUGACAAUAAGUUGUUCAAGUUCUUGCUAAGGAUACAUUUGUGAGGGGAUGAGACUCAAUCUGUCCCUCCUCCACCAGCUACUUCUGCAAUAUAGUGACUGUCGUUCUGAAAAAUACGUUAGUUUAAAAUGCUGCUGGGUGACAAAUGUUGUGAAUCUUCUGCAUUCAUCCACAGGAGUUCCUGUCUGAACGUGAAGUACAAGUUUUGUCCAUGUGCAGAGUUUUAAAUAUAUGUGGACGUAGAGACUGUGUGUAUUCCAUUAAAUACUCUGUUCGUAUGUGACUUCUGUAUACCAAGUGGAUUUUGUUUGUUUAGCUUUCUUUUUGCUGACUUUUUUUUUUCUCUUUUCAAUUACAAUAAAUAUUCAAGAGACUAUAUUCAGGAA
This is a long non-coding RNA of Centrocercus urophasianus (Greater sage-grouse), 8088 nucleotides long. RefSeq lists it as uncharacterized. The record is from RefSeq and is a predicted model, not a curated record. NCBI's taxonomy places the organism in Eukaryota, Metazoa, Chordata, Aves, Galliformes, Phasianidae. The transcript is spliced from 3 exons.